Long non-coding RNA from Etheostoma spectabile (orangethroat darter), 286 nucleotides. RefSeq lists it as uncharacterized. NCBI's taxonomy places the organism in Eukaryota, Metazoa, Chordata, Actinopteri, Perciformes, Percidae. The record is from RefSeq and is a predicted model, not a curated record. The transcript is spliced from 3 exons.
GGAGACAAUUACGGGAUUGUAAAGGAUUCAAAACCCUGACCUUGAAUAGCUAUGUAAUAUGUGUAUUUCAUUCAUGAAAUACCUUUACAGUACCCAAUGUGGUUGUACAUCAGUAGCGGACAUUAAAUUACGUCCCCCUUAUAUUCAGCGUGGACAUUUUAUUCCUUUUAGUCCAUGUUUGUGUUGUCUUAUUUUCUUUCCCCUUGUCCCCUGUAACGCUACUUGUGUAAAGCGUCCUUGGGUUUCCUGAAAUGCUCUAUAUUGAUCUAAGUUGGUUGCUACGUUG